Molecule: unclassified non-coding RNA, 404 nt
Filed under: soil metagenome
Description: partial contains 5.8S ribosomal RNA, internal transcribed spacer 2, and large subunit ribosomal RNA
Rfam family: 5.8S ribosomal RNA (bases 1-121)
Source: RNAcentral
GAUGAAGAACGCAGCGAGAUGCGAUAAGUAAUGUGAAUUGCAGAAUUCAGUGAAUCAUCGAAUCUUUGAACGCACCUUGCGCCCUUUGGCCAUUCCGAAGGGCAUGCCUGUUUGAGUAUCAUGAACACCUCAACUCUCAUGGCUUGCCAUGAUGAGCUUGGACUUUGGGGGUCUUGCUGGCCUGCGGCCAGCUCCUCUCAAAUGAAUUAGCUUUCCAGUGUUUGGUUGGCAUCACAGGUGUGAUAACUAUCUACGCUUGUGGUUUCCACCAGGUAACCUUCAGUAACAUGGGGGUUUGCUGGAGCUCAUAAAUGUCUCUCCUCAGUGGGGACAGCUCUUUGAACGUUUGAUCUCAAAUCAGGUAGGACUACCCGCUGAACUUAAGCAUAUCAAUAAGCGGAGGA